Long non-coding RNA from Hemicordylus capensis (graceful crag lizard), 905 nucleotides. RefSeq lists it as uncharacterized. Lineage: Eukaryota; Metazoa; Chordata; Lepidosauria; Squamata; Cordylidae. The record is from RefSeq and is a predicted model, not a curated record. The transcript is spliced from 3 exons.
UCUGUGAAACUGUGGGGCAGCCUGGAAAGCUGGUCUGACUCUGCAAUGGGAGUUUCCUGCACUGCUGGAGAUGCCUCUAGGAAUUGGAGAAGGAUUGUUUGCUUUGGAGUUUGGCUUCUGUGGCUGACAGGCGACAAGGGGUGGCAGCAGACACUCCAGGAGUGGUUUACCUUUAUUGGGUGUGGCAGCAGAUUCCUUGGCAUUGGCAACAGGCUAGAUUAAAUGAAUGAACUUAAGCUUGGUCCAGAUAAGACAAUUAUCUUCAUGAUGAGUGGUUCAAUCCACCUAGGGAUGUUGAGUCCAGCUUAAAGUCUUCUCCAGUGUGUGGCUUUACUUCAGGAUUUUAGCAGGACAGGGUGAAGACAAAAGAGAACUUGCCAAUUUCACUUUUCUUUUUGACAAAAUGAAACUGACAGUGGAAAUGAAGGUUCUCCUUGGGAUGGAAAAUGAAAUGCAAUGCCCUGCCUUCUCAAGCAUUAAACAUUAUGUCUAGAUUUUGUUUUUGUUGCAUAGCUGUAGAGGUCUAAGAGGAUGUCCAGAAGUGAAAGUACCUCCCCUGCAGCUAAGUACUGUGCCUCCAUUUGUUGUUCUUUCCCCACUCCUAAAUCUAUAACCCAUAGUUACUGGAUAGAGCUCUAUUGUUUGCGAGAUGAUCAUGCAAAGGAAAUAAUAUGGUUGGGGUGCAUCUUGUAAAUAAGCCCUAAGGCAUCAGCUCUCUAUUUUAGCACUUUAGCCAGUUUUUGAAAACCAAGUAAGAGCAUUUGGAAUGCCAGUUAACACAUUACACAAAUAGCUUUCAGCUAAAUCCCGGGACUCUCCUCUGUGCCAUUGGUAGCUGCUGGAAUUCCCUUCCCAGACCAGCUGACGGACCUUCCAAAUUUUCCUGCAUAACACAGAGAUAGGUC